This 4892-nucleotide long non-coding RNA is filed under the name Mytilus galloprovincialis (Mediterranean mussel). The record is from RNAcentral. Lineage: Eukaryota; Metazoa; Mollusca; Bivalvia; Mytilida; Mytilidae.
AACCAGAUGCUCCGCAGGGCGCAGCUUUAUACGACCCCAGAGGUUGAACCCUGAACGGUUGGGGCAAGUAUGGACACAACAUUCAAGCUGGAUUCAGCUCUAAAUUUGGAUUGUGAUUAAAUAGUUGACACAGCAUAGGUUUCUGACACAGAAUGAAUGUGUUCUAAUGAACUUAAAAUUUUUGUUUUCUCUUAGAGCAAUUCACUAUGCUGUUGAAUAUUAAUCCUCUCAAAAAAAUGUUUGAAGAAAUUUUCUUUUUAAUUUAUGAAAUUUCAAAUGAGAAAAAUUGAACCCAAUUUUUUUAAUCACAUCCCCCUUUCCCUUAUUCCAAAACUAAUCUCAAUUAAAAUUUCUAAUGGAGUUUGCAACAAUAACUACUCAUUUAAAUACAUCAUAAAAUAUUAAGAUGUAAAAAAACUGCUUGAUAUCACUGAAUGGUAAAGAUUAUUUUAAUUUAUCAGUUGGUAGUAAAAAGUGAAUAUACAUACAUUGUAUAUUGUAUAUAACAAAGAUUUAGGUUGAUUCUGGACAAAGAAAGAUAACUCCAAUUAAAAAAAAAUCUUGCUAUUGCACAAUAUUUUGCAAUUAGAUAUUUCUUGCUUACUAUUCUGGACAAAGAAAGAUAACUCUAAUUAAAAAAAAAUUUGCUAUUUCACAAUAUUGUGCAAUUAGAUAUUUCUUGCCAUUGCGCAAUACUGUGCAAUUGAAAAGACUUGCUAUUGCACAAUACUUAAUAUAAUAAUUUUAGAUCCUGAUUUGGACCAACUUGAAAACUGGGCCCAUAAUAAAAAAAUCUAAGUACAUUUUUGGAUUCAGCAUAUCAAAGAAACCCAAAGAUUUCAAUUUUUGUUAAAAUCAGACUUAAGUUUAAUUUUGGACCCUUUGGACUUUAAGUGUAGACCAAUUUGAAAACAGGACCAAAAAAUGAAGAAUCUACAUACACAGUUAGAUUUGGUAUAUCAAAGAACCUCAUUUAUUCAAUUUUUGAUGAAAUCAAACAAAGUUUAAUUUUGGACCCUGAUUUGGACCAACUUGAAAACUGGGCCAAUAAUCAAGAAUCUAAGUACAUUUUUAGAUUCAGCAUAUCAAAGAACCCUAACUGAUUCAUUUUUUGUCAAAAUCAAACUAAGUUUUAUUUUGGACCCUUUGGACCUUAAUGUAGAUCAAUUUGAAAACGGGACCAAAAGUUAAGAAUCUACAUACACAGUCAUGACAGUUAGAUUUGGCAUAUCAAAGAACCCCAAUUAUUCAAUUUUGAUGAAAUCAAACAAAGUUUAAUUUUGGACCCUUUGGGCCCCUUAUUCUGUUGGGACCAAAACUCCCAAAAUCAAUACCAACCUUCCUUUUAUGGUCAUAAACCUUGUGUUUAAAUUUCAUAGAUUUCUAUUUACUUAUACUAACGUUAUGGUGCGAAAACCAAGAAAAAUGCUUAUUUGGGUCCCUUUUUGGCCCCUAAUUCCUAAACUGUUGGGACCUAAACUCCCAAAAUCAAUACCAACCUUCCUUUUGUAGUCAUUGUUUAAAUUUCAUUGAUUUCUAUUUACUUAAACUAAAGUUAUUGUGCGAAAACCAAGAAUAAUGCUUAUUUGGGCCCUUUUUUGGCCCCUAAUUCCUAAACUGUUGAAACCAAAAUUCCCAAAAUCAAUCCCAACUGUUCUUUUGUGGUCAUAUACCUUGUGUCAAAAUUUUAUAGAUUUCUAUUAACUUAAACUAAAGUUAUAGUGCGAAAACCAAGAAAAUGCUUAUUUGGGCCCUUUUUGGCCCCUAAUUCCUAAAAUGUUGGGACCAAAACUCCCAAAAUCAAUACCAACCUUCCUUUUGUGGUCAUAAACCUUGUGUUAAAAUUUCAUAGAUUUCCAUUCACUUUUACUAAAGUUAGAGUGCGAAAACUAAAAGUAUUCGGACGACGACGCAGACGACGACGCCAACGUGAUAGCAAUAUACGACGAAAAAUUUUUUCAAAUUUUGCGGUCGUAUAAAAAUCUUAAUAAUAACCGUUUUAACAGUUUAAGUUAUAGAUGUUUCAUAUCUUUUGGAUAGUUUUGAGGUGUUUCGUAAAUAAUAUCAUAGUUUUGUUGACAGCCCCGGCCUUAACCUUUGCCAUGGUGUUUCAACAAAACUAUGUUAUAAUUUACGAAACACCACAAAACUACCCAAAAAUAUGAAAUAUCUGUUUUAACCUAUAGCAUCUUUUAAUGUUAAAUUUUGUUAAGAAUUGGCUAAAUAGUAAACACAAAGCUCUGCCUUCUAUAUAAUAAGCACGGAAAUUUUGAAACCACAGGAAUAUCAGUUAGACCUGAAUUUUCAUCUCCGAAGGAUGCACAUUUACAUGGCUGGCGGAUAAUGCUACAGAUCUAGACAAACAUAUAGUGAAGGAAUAAGAUUUACUGGAAAUGGAUGCAAGAUUAGUCACAGAUUUUUUGAUAGUUGGAAGCUCUCUGGAGUCCCACGUUUAGGGUUAGUUUUCUUUUUAAUUUUCAACUCAACUAUCAAAAUGUUAUAUUGUUUUUACUGAAAACGAGAAAAUUCAUUUCAACAGAGCUACACUGUAUUACGGUUUAUGACCCCUUCUUAAGCCAUGUGAACUUAAAUUUCAAAUUGCAAUAGUAUAAAAAAAAAUAAUUCAUGAAUAAUAGAGAUGCCGGGGCUGUUUUGUACAUAUAACAAACACGGCUGGUAAUCUACACAAGCAGAACAUUUGGUUCUGCAAUGAAAACCGUGAGAGGAUUUUCCGGUUGUGCUUGAGUGGAGUAAUUGUCACCGCUUCAAAAAGUAUGUACAUUUUCAAAUCUCAAUUUUCUUAUUUAACUGAUCAAAAUAUUGAAAAUCGGAGAAUGCUAUGCUGUGGUGAAUACUUUAACGAAGAGAUACAUGUAUCAUUUACUCUUGUACGUAGAUUUGAACUCCUACAAAAUCAGUUGUCCCACGAGAAAUUGCCUAAAAAAGUGACAUUUCAAUUUUGAAAUGGUUCUAUUUACAGACCUACAAGUUCAAAUUUAGUUUUUUUUUCGUGCAAUGGGUAUGAAUGUUGUUUUUGGCGGCGUGUGCGCUGUCCUGUGUUGAUAGACGUCUUAAUAAUUCCAAAAACUACAUUUUUUCAUGAAGUCAUGAUUGAGGGGAUCGGUUCUGAUUGAGGACAUCGUGAAUGCGUGAGGGGAAGUACAAACAUUUUUUUUUAAUCUUUGGCUUUGUGACUUUUGUUGACUCAAUGAAUAAAUGUGAUCAAAUCAAUGCUGAUUAAAAAACACAUAUUUAUCCUUAUGCUUUAAUAGACGUAAACUGAUCACUGAUUCAAUGAACUAUAAUUUGUUUGUUCAAUUUCAGAAAAUGCCAUUGUUCAAAGGAAAAAGGAAAAGAGGACUGAAAUUGACUCUCUACAAAAAGCCAUGGAGAUACAAGUUAUCCCCGCACUCGAAGUGAACUAAACCCUCUGGGAACUGUAAAAAUCAGUUGAAAAAAGCUUAAUGAAAAUUCAUGUUAUACAUAUUUAUGAAAGGAGUUAUCUCCCCUAAAAUAGUUUAUUUAAAAAAAAAGAUGAUUCUAAAAACAUAAAAUUUUAUAUUUGUUUAAAUAGUUUGAUUUAUUCAAUAAAUCACCAAAUAUAUAUUCUUUAUAUGAAUAAAGUCUAACUAUUGAAUUGCAAAUCUGUCUCCAAAUUUGCAGAUGUGGGCAAAUAAUCGGUCUAGUUUUUACUUGUAGCAAGAAAACAAAAUCGUUGACAACAUUUUUUGUCUUUAUUCUUCGUGAAACAUAUUAUUAAACCUAGGUUCCUACAAUUAUUUCAUAAUCCAAUCUCAUAAACUUUUUUAAGGACACUCACAUAUGUGUUUUUUCAUGAACAAUGUAGCCAAAUUUAGGUAAGCUUCAACGACUUAUAGCUUGAAUAUAAAGAUAUGAUUUGUACCUCCCCUCACGCAUUCACAAUGUCCUCAAUCAGAACCGAUCCCCUCACGCAUGACUUCAUGAAAAAAUGUAGUUUUUGGAAUUAUUAAGACGUCUAUCAACACAGGACAGCGCACACGCCGCCAAAAACAACAUUCAUACCCAUUGCACGAAAAAAAACUAAAUUUGAACUUGUAGGUCUGUAAAUAGAACCAUUUCAAAAUUGAAAUGUCACUUUUUUAGGCAAUUUCUCGUGGGACAACUGAUUUUGUAGGAGUUCAACUCUACGUACAACAGUAAAUGAUACAUGUAUCUCUUCGUUAAAGUAUUCACCACAUCAUAGCAUUCUCCGAUUUUCAAUAUUUUGAUCAGUUGAAUAAGAAAAUUGAAAUUUAGAAAUGUACAUACCUUUUGAAGCGGUGACAAUUACUCCACUCAAGCACAACCGGAAAAUCCUCUCACGGUUUUCACUGCAGAACCAAAUGUUCUGCGUGUGUAGAUUACCAGCCGUGACAAAGAGAAACAUUGCGCAAAGCUUUAAUAGAAAAUAAAUUUUGUAGUCUUUAAUUUUGGGUAACCAUUUGCUAUCAAAUUUAAACGGUCCAACAUUUAUAUUGUUAUAAAUACCGGUAGUCUAAUUCCUUAACUAUAUACAUGUAUAUGAAGCUCCUUAAAAGAGAUGUGCCUGCUUUUCCCUCCCUCUUAAAAAAACCUCUGCAAUAUUGAAUGUAAAAGAUAGCUGUACAUUGGAGACUAUGAUAAUGUAUGAGGAUACAAUCUAGGUACCGGUAUAUAUUCCCAUAACUGAAUUUAAAGCAGCUUAAGGUGGCUCGGGCCUAUUCGAAGUUUCUAUCAGAAGUGCCGUAUUUUUUGUUAUUUUAUUCUUUAAAGAAAAUGAAUCAAAUUGGUCGAAAAAAAUAGGGGGUCACGGACCAUUUAAGAUCAAAAUUUUACUUUUAAACAGGUAUGUAAAUGGGACCAUUUUUCAAUGAAAUGAUAGGGAAAAUACA